CAGAAUGAGGGACUAAACAGCUGAUAAAAACAUCACAAUAAUCCACAUUACUCCAGUUGAUCAGUUAACAUCCUGUGAA
Molecule: long non-coding RNA, 79 nt
Organism: Sinocyclocheilus anshuiensis
Lineage: Eukaryota; Metazoa; Chordata; Actinopteri; Cypriniformes; Cyprinidae
Exons: 3
Source: RefSeq, a predicted model, not a curated record